RNAcentral lists this long non-coding RNA (289 nucleotides) under Manihot esculenta (cassava). RNAcentral describes it as "long non-coding RNA (MESC_LNC005036)". The record is from RNAcentral. Lineage: Eukaryota; Viridiplantae; Streptophyta; Magnoliopsida; Malpighiales; Euphorbiaceae.
UUAAAGAAUAGUUUAAAUGACUUGAUAAUAACUUUGAAAUUGUGAAUUUGGAGUCUAGCAUGCUAUGCAUAGUACAAUUGGCCAGGUUUUGUUUACUUCUGGUUUUAUUGAUGUUAUGUGCGUGAGUGGUAUCAGUGUUGCUGGCAAGUGAGCUUUAUCCAUUUUGUGAUAGGUAUAAACCUGUUGCUUUUUUUAUUCGAUUAAGUAUUAGUUGGGAAUAAUCUGCACACUUGUGUUUAUAUUGCUUUGUUUAUUUAUUUGUUUAAGAUGACUUAUUUUUCCAUGUCAC